This 252-nucleotide ribosomal RNA is filed under the name uncultured bacterium. RNAcentral's name for it is "partial 16S ribosomal RNA". It matches the Rfam family "Bacterial small subunit ribosomal RNA", at positions 524 to 776 of the family's 1533-position model. The record is from RNAcentral.
UACGGAGGAUGCGAGCGUUAUCCGGAUUUAUUGGGUUUAAAGGGUGCGUAGGCGGUCUGUUAAGUCAGCGGUAAAAUUGCGGGGCUCAACCCCGUCCGGCCGUUGAAACUGGGGGCCUUGAGUGGGCGAGAAGAAGGCGGAAUGCGUGGUGUAGCGGUGAAAUGCAUAGAUAUCACGCAGAACCCCGAUUGCGGAGGCAGCCUUCCGGCGCCCUACUGACGCUGAGGCACGAAAGUGCGGGGAUCGAACAGG